Molecule: ribosomal RNA, 490 nt
Filed under: uncultured bacterium
Lineage: Bacteria
Description: partial 16S ribosomal RNA
Rfam family: Bacterial small subunit ribosomal RNA
Source: RNAcentral
AUUGAACGCUGGCGGCAGGCCUAACACAUGCAAGUCGAACGGUAACAGGAAGCAGCUUGCUGCUUUGCUGACGAGUGGCGGACGGGUGAGUAAUGUCUGGGAAACUGCCCGAUGGAGGGGGAUAACUACUGGAAACGGUAGCUAAUACCGCAUAACGUCGCAAGACCAAAGAGGGGGACCUUAGGGCCUCUUGCCAUCGGAUGUGCCCAGAUGGGAUUAGCUAGUAGGUGGGGUAACGGCUCACCUAGGCGACGAUCCCUAGCUGGUCUGAGAGGAUGACCAGCCACAACGGAACUGAGGAACCGUCCAGACUCCUACGGGAGGGAGCAGUGGGGAAUAUUGCACAAUGGGCGCAAGCCUGAUGCAGCCAUGCCGCGUGUAUGAAGAAGGCCUUCGGGUUGUAAAGUACUUUCAGCGGGGAGGAAGGGAGUAAAGUUAAUACCUUUGCUCAUUGACGUUACCCGCAGAAGAAGCACCGGCUAACUCCGUG